GAGAGGGGUGCGGAUUGAGGCAAUUGUGCGGUUACGGGGGCAUUCACCUGCUGACAAUCAUGAGCGAGGAAUAAGCAGGAUGGUGCGUUGCAUUGGGACGAGAAUCUAUGCUGGGAUCCUUGACGCGGUCUCACCUCCUGCUCCUGCGCCUAUUCCCGCCCCGCAGCUGGGCCACCGCCCUGUUCUGCACCAUCCUGGCCUCCAACUUGCUGGGUCUGGUGCCCACCAACGAGGCGCCCACCUCCGGCCUGGGCUUCGCCACCGGCCUGGGUGUGAGCGUGUGGGCCACCGCCACCACCCUGGGUCUGUACAAGCUGGGCUUCUCCUUCCCCGGGCACUUCAUCCCUGGUAGGAACGGGCGGGUGCGGGAGCCAACGCAUUGAAGGUUGUGGAGCAGCGGGUUUGUGUUUGCACAGGUCAGCACCGCGUGCGGGGUGUGCCGGGUAUGCACGGCAUGUGCUGGGUGCGUGCACGCCAACACCGAAUGGCAAAACUUGUGCCUGACUAGUUGGUUGUUGUCCUUGCCGACCGCAGGCGGCACCCCCUGGCCCAUGGCCUUCAUCUUCGUGCCCCUGGAGACCAUUUCGUACACCUUCCGUGCUGUUUCCCUGGGUGUCCGUCUGUGGGUCAACAUGCUUGCCGGACACACGCUGCUGCACAUCCUGACGGGUGAGUCGCUGCCGUUCGCACAGCUGCACUGUAAACUACAGAUUAGGUGCGCUCUCUGGGACCCUGCGACGCCACACCUACACCGCCUGCUUUCCAGAACCCACCUGGCUGCCACCCCGCCUCCCCACGCCGUCUCUCUCAACCGGUACUCUUCCUUGCAGGCAUGGCGCUGGCGCUGCCCUUCUCGCUGUCGUUCU
This 866-nucleotide long non-coding RNA is filed under the name Chlamydomonas reinhardtii. RNAcentral describes it as "long non-coding RNA (CREI_LNC000030)". Lineage: Eukaryota; Viridiplantae; Chlorophyta; Chlorophyceae; Chlamydomonadales; Chlamydomonadaceae. The record is from RNAcentral.